GACGAACGCUGGCGGCAUGCCUAACACAUGCAAGUCGAACGGAAAGGCCCUGCUUAUGUGCGGAGCUCGAGUUGCGAACGGGUGAGUAACACGUGAGUUACCUGUCCCUCCCUUUAGGAUGUCUUAAUGACACUGAGUCUCAUACCGCCAAAGAGUUCCUGCUUUUUGGUGGGGGUGCGUUAGAUUCGGCGGUUGGGGAUGUACACGCGGCUCAUCAGCUUGUUGCUUGGGUAGUGGCUUACCAAGGCUUUGACGGGUAGCCGGCCUGAGAGGCUGACCGGCCACAUUGGGACUGAGAUACGGCCCAGACUCCUACGGGAGGCAGCGGUGGGGAAGAUUGCACAAUGGGCGGAAGCCUGAUGCAGCAACGCCGCGUGCGGGAUGACGGCCUUCGGGUUGUAAACCGCUUUCGCCUGUGACGAAGCGUGAGUGACGGUAAUGGGUAAAGAAGCACCGGCUAACUACGUG
RNAcentral lists this ribosomal RNA (468 nucleotides) under uncultured bacterium. RNAcentral's name for it is "partial 16S ribosomal RNA". It matches the Rfam family "Bacterial small subunit ribosomal RNA", at positions 28 to 507 of the family's 1533-position model. The record is from RNAcentral.